Xiphophorus maculatus (southern platyfish) is the source of this 1305-nucleotide long non-coding RNA. RefSeq lists it as uncharacterized. The transcript has 2 exons. The record is from RefSeq and is a predicted model, not a curated record. Lineage: Eukaryota; Metazoa; Chordata; Actinopteri; Cyprinodontiformes; Poeciliidae.
AUAUAUAUAUAGUUGUUUUUGGCUACAAACUCUUGAUUCCCACACCAUGAUACUUCCACCACCAUGCAUUUUUCACUGGAGUUGCUCUUUUCAGUUAAAAGUGGUGCACUGUUAGUUUUCUGCUACAGUCUUGAUUUGUUUUUAUUUUUACAAAUUAAUAUUUUGGGCUAAAAUUUUAAUUCCCACUGCAUGAUUCUGCCACCACCGUGCUUCACAGUGGAGUCAUUCUAUUCAGCUCAGAAUGGUGCACAUUUAGUUGUUUUUUUUUUUUACAAUAUAUUAUUUAAGUUAACCAUUUUUAAACAUGGCAACUAAUCAGAUUCCCUUAGCAUUAUGUUGCCACCACCAAGUUUUGAAGUAGAGAUUGUGAAUUUGGUGAAUUAACUUUAUUUCAGGGAGGAAGUUGGGGAUUGUUUUAAUUUAAUGUACAAAAACAAAAGAUUAUGCAAUGCAAUACUUUAGGUUUGUCACGUAAAAACUAUAGUUUAAAUUAAAUUUAGUGGUUUUAAAGUGACAAAAAUGGGGAGAAGUUCAAGGAGUAGAAACACUCAAAGUGUUCAGAAAAACGAGGAACCUCCAAUGGGAAUGAGUGAGUAUUGUUUUUAUUUUAAGUACCAGUGAUGUUGGUGAUGAAACGUGAGCAGUUCUUCACUCUCAGGGAAUGAUGCCAUGGACAUUAACCUCCGAUUAACCACCAGCCACAUCAUCACGGAUGCAGACAGGACGCUCUCAGCUCUCCCAGGACUUUCAGGAAGUCCUGCUUCUGAGAAGCUGAGGUUGCUGUCACCAGUCAUUGUAUCUUCCGGUGUUGUCCCUCAAACUUCCAAGUUGUGUUCAGCUCAGUGUUACUCAUUCAUCACCCUCCUCUCCUGGAGUUGACCCUUGACCUCAUCAGUGAACUGCCAUAUAGCUUUAAGACCAUUCUGUGAACAGUGAGGCUGGGAAAACUUUUCUCAGGUCGACCUACAAGUAACUGUGUGAUGAUCGCCAGGCUGAAUCCCUACACUACACUCUUUAACUUUUUCAAUUCUUUGCAUGUCAAGUCAUUUAAGAAUAAAAAAGAAAAGAAAACGCGAGCUGGCCCGCAGGCAGGGUUUGUUUAUAAGCUGUAGUGUUCACACAGAAUUUAUCACCUCCCUCCUUUUCCUGCCUUUUUUUAAGCAUUAAUGUUGUCGUUUCUUGCAAAAGAUUGCUUCUGAUUUGAAAUCUACAAACACUGGCUAACUGUGACACUGUUGAUGCGUUGCAUUUGUUUCUGCAUUUCAAAAAUUGCUUGUAAAUAAAACGAAUGAAAUAAAAACAAAA